RNAcentral lists this non-coding RNA (926 nucleotides) under Plectrohyla glandulosa (forest spikethumb frog). RNAcentral describes it as "partial 12S ribosomal RNA". It matches the Rfam family "Bacterial small subunit ribosomal RNA". Lineage: Eukaryota; Metazoa; Chordata; Amphibia; Anura; Hylidae. The record is from RNAcentral.
UGGUCCCAGCCUUGGAAUCAAUUGUUACUUAAUAUACACAUGCAAGUCUCCGCACCCCUGUGAAAACGCCCUUAACUUCCUAACAGGAAUAAGGAGCUGGUAUCAGGCACAAUUCUUAGCCCAAAACACCUAGCCUACGCCACACCCACAAGGGAAUUCAGCAGUGAUUAACAUUGAGCAUAAGCGACAGCUUGACUCAGUUAAAGUAAAAAGAACCGGCAAAUCUGGUGCCAGCCGCCGCGGUUACACCACGAGGUCCAAAUUGACUCUUUUCGGCGUAAAGCGUGAUUAAAGUUUUUGAAACAAUUAUAGCUGUAUUAGAACUAAGCUGUGACACGCUUGUAUCUAAGAAACCCAAAAACGAAAGUUACUAUAUUUACAACCACUUGAAUUCACGACAGCUAGGACACAAACUGGGAUUAGAUACCCCACUAUGCCUAGCCGUAAACUUUAAAUUACAUCCAUAUCGCCAGGGAACUACGAGCAAAGCUUAAAACCCAAAGGACUUGACGGUACCCCACAUCCACCUAGAGGAGCCUGUCCUAUAAUCGAUAACCCCCGCUUAACCUCACCAUUUUUAGCCUAUCAGCCUGUAUACCUCCGUCGUCAGCUUACCUCGUGAGCGAUUUUUAGUGAGCUUAAUGUCCACACGUCAAUACGUCAGGUCAAGGUGCAGUAAAUGAAAUGGGAAGAGAUGGGCUACACUCUCUAACAUAGAAUAAACGAAAGACUAUAUAUGAAACCUAGUCAGAAGGCGGAUUUAGUAGUAAAAAGAGACCAUAGAGCCCUUUUUAACACGGCACUGGGGUGUGUACACACCGCCCUGUCACCCUCUUCAAAACUAAAAGAUAGUAUUUAACACAGUACAGUGAACCAGAAGAGGCAAGUCGUAACAUGGUAAGUAUACCGGAAGGUGUGCUUGGAAA